UAGGUUGGAGCGGUUGUACAUGUCUUCACACACGGCCGAAGCUAUGAGAUGGCACGCUGAUAGGGAAUUGCAUGACAAAGAUACCCUUAUACACCCUGCUGACGGGGAGGCUUGGAAGCAUAUAGACAGGGAGUUUCCUCAUUUUGCGUCAGAGGUCCGAAAUGUGAGGCUCGGGCUCUCAUCCGACGGGUUCAACCCUUUUGGCAACAUGAGUCUUCAAUAUAGUGUAUGGCCGGUGAUUUUGGUACCGUACAACCUUCCUCCAUGGAUGUGCAUGAAGAAGGAAUACAAUAUGUUGAGUUUGUUGAUCCCGGGGCCCGGUUAUCCAGGGAAGUGUCUCGAUGUGUAUUUGAGACCUUUGAUUGAAGAGCUUCAGUUUUUGUGGGACAUUGGUCAUCCCACUUAUGACAAGUGCACGAAGAAGGAAUACAAUAUGUUGAGUUUGUUGAUCCCGGGGCCCGGUUAUCCAGGGAAGUGUCUCGAUGUGUAUUUGAGACCUUUGAUUGAAGAGCUUCAGUUUUUGUGGGACAUUGGUCAUCCCACUUAUGACAAGUACAUGCACGAGAUGUUCCAGAUGCAUGUCAUGGUUGUUGGUACCAUCAGUGAUUUUUCUGCCCGUGGGAUGUUGUCGGGCAACGUUGUUAGGGGAUACAAGGCUUAUUCAGAGUGCCUUAGCGAUGAGGGGAACAGCAGUCAUUGCAACAAGAUAUGCAGAUUGGGUCACCGUGCUUUCCUUCCAUAUAAUCACGAAUGGCGGUUCGAUGAAAAGGCAUUUGAUGGGACCGUAGAACACGGUGUGCCUCCUAGAAGAUGGACGGGGGAAGAAAUUUUAGCAGUGCUUAAUGAGUACGAUUUUGGGCAGCUCAGCAAUCAUCCUAACAUUGUGGCGGCAAUACCUGAAAGACCCGACAGGUACAAAUUCUGGACACAUAAGAGCAUAUUCUGGGAACUCCCAUACUGGAGUAAGUUGUUGAUCAGGCACUACCUAGAUGUGAUGCACAUAGAAAAGAAUGUUUAGCGACAGUGUGGUGGGCACAGUGCUGAACUUGGAGGGGAAGAC
This 1060-nucleotide long non-coding RNA is filed under the name Fragaria vesca (wild strawberry). Its description in RNAcentral is "long non-coding RNA (FVES_LNC005262)". The record is from RNAcentral. Lineage: Eukaryota; Viridiplantae; Streptophyta; Magnoliopsida; Rosales; Rosaceae.